Poecilia latipinna (sailfin molly) is the source of this 812-nucleotide long non-coding RNA. RefSeq lists it as uncharacterized. Lineage: Eukaryota; Metazoa; Chordata; Actinopteri; Cyprinodontiformes; Poeciliidae. The transcript has 3 exons. The record is from RefSeq and is a predicted model, not a curated record.
CACAUACAUUUUUCGAUUUACAAGAUAUUUUUAUAUUUAUGAUUCCAAAACUUUUAGCAACUCAGGUGUUGAUUGAUCUAUAUAAUUGAGAUUUAUUUGUUGCCUCAAAAGCAGAUAGUUCGAAACAUGGCUCAUGCCUUGGCUACAGCACUCACAAGGGAACUUGUGGGAAAUACAAGCUCUCCCUCAACAAGUUCAUGCCCUAAUAUCGGCAACAAUUCUGGCCCUUUGGCUUCAAAUUCUUCAACACGGGUCAACCAGGCAUUAAAACGGUAAGAUUUGAAUUUCUUUUUAAAAUUGGAAACGAAGUAGAUAACAGUUAUGUAUUUAUUUCAUAUAUGUUUUUUCAUUGUUGUUGUUUUUUUAUUUUAUGGACUCUUCCUUGACUGGAUGUUUUGUCUCAAAAUAUUAUUAUUAUCUUUAUUCUCAAAGGCAAUUUCCAAAUCUGUUUCAAAAGUCAGACCUGAAAAAAGGCAAACAGAGGAUUAUCGCCUCAACUCGUUCUACAAAAAUCUCCAACAUUGGAAUAUACGUAUUGCCAGGCCCCACCAAUCUAACCCCCAAAAAUUCUGAUGAGUUUCACUUAGCACAUGCAGGGUUAAGGAGAAGGGUGCUUUCUUUUUCUGACGACAGCAGGCAUGAGGAGAUUGUCAGUCAGUUGGAGGACGAGUUUAUCAAACUUAAACAACUGAAGGGAAGAUGGAUGUUCCAUAAAGCAUCAGGUGGAGGUGGUCAAAGGAAAUUGUCAAUAAUCCCAAUGGAUGCUGAGGGGUACAGCGGCAAGCUGCUUCAAAUAAUGGGAAAAUAGUCCU